RNAcentral lists this ribosomal RNA (266 nucleotides) under uncultured Staphylococcus sp. Its description in RNAcentral is "partial 16S ribosomal RNA". It matches the Rfam family "Bacterial small subunit ribosomal RNA", at positions 96 to 355 of the family's 1533-position model. Lineage: Bacteria; Bacillati; Bacillota; Bacilli; Caryophanales; Staphylococcaceae. The record is from RNAcentral.
CGGCGGACGGGUGAGUAACACGUGGGUAACCUACCUAUAAUACUGGGAUAACUUCGGGAAACCGGAGCUAAUACCGGAUAAUAUUUCGAACCGCAUGGUUCGAUAGUGAAAGAUGGUUUUGCUAUCACUUAUAGAUGGACCUGCGCCGUAUUAGCUAGUUGGUAAGGUAACGGCUUACCAAGGCGACGAUACGUAGCCGACCUGAGAGGGUGAUCGGCCACACUGGAACUGAGACACGGUCCAGACUCCUACGGGAGGCAGCAGCA